GGAUCCAGACUUUGAUCCUGGCUCAGGAUGAACGCUAGCUACAGGCUUAACACAUGCAAGUCGAGGGGAAACGAUAUUGGAAGCUUGCUUCCGAUAGGCGUCGACCGGCGCACGGGUGAGUAACGCGUAUCCAACCUGCCCACCACUUGGGGAUAACCUUGCGAAAGUAAGACUAAUACCCAAUGAUAUCUCUAGAAGACAUCUGAAAGAGAUUAAAGAUUUAUCGGUGAUGGAUGGGGAUGCGUCUGAUUAGUUUGUUGGCGGGGUAACGGCCCACCAAGGCGACGAUCAGUAGGGGUUCUGAGAGGAAGGUCCCCCACAUUGGAACUGAGACACGGUCCAAACUCCUACGGGAGGCAGCAGUGAGGAAUAUUGGUCAAUGGGCGAGAGCCUGAACCAGCCAAGUAGCGUGCAGGAUGACGGCCCUAUGGGUUGUAAACUGCUUUUAUAAGGGAAUAAAGUGAGUCUCGUGAGACUUUUUGCAUGUACCUUAUGAAUAAGGACCGGCUAAUUCCGUGCCAGCAGCCGCGGUAAUACGGAAGGUCCGGGCGUUAUCCGGAUUUAUUGGGUUUAAAGGGAGCGUAGGCCGGAGAUUAAGCGUGUUGUGAAAUGUAGACGCUCAACGUCUGCACUGCAGCGCGAACUGGUUUCCUUGAGUACGCACAAAGUGGGCGGAAUUCGUGGUGUAGCGGUGAAAUGCUUAGAUAUCACGAAGAACUCCGAUUGCGAAGGCAGCUCACUGGAGCGCAACUGACGCUGAAGCUCGAAAGUGCGGGUAUCGAACAGGAUUAGAUACCCUGGUAGUCCGCACGGUAAACGAUGGACGCCCGCUGUUGGUCUGAAUAGGUCAGCGGCCAAGCGAUAGCAUUAAGCAUCCCACCUGGGGAGUACGCCGGCAACGGUGCAACUCAAAGGAAUUGACGG
Molecule: ribosomal RNA, 924 nt
Filed under: uncultured Bacteroidota bacterium
Lineage: Bacteria; Pseudomonadati; Bacteroidota
Description: bacterial SSU rRNA
Rfam family: Bacterial small subunit ribosomal RNA
Source: RNAcentral